Molecule: long non-coding RNA, 428 nt
Filed under: Mus musculus (house mouse)
Lineage: Eukaryota; Metazoa; Chordata; Mammalia; Rodentia; Muridae
Description: predicted gene, 30539
Source: RNAcentral
CAGGCAACAAAAACCAAAGCAGUAUCCUGAGAGGGGCCCCCAAGCGCAGGGUUUGCCGGGCCUCAGCCUCGGGAGGGAAAAUUGCUCAACCGUGAGGAAUGUGGAGUUAAAGCUGAAGCCAGAGGAAGCUCGGGAGGUGACAACUGGGCCUGGGAGGGACUGCAGGGGGACCGACUGCAGACCUCAGCUAAUGGCAGCUCCUGGAUGAGAACACAAACAGCAAAAGAUGUGCGCACAGCUUGGUGCUGUCACCGAACCAGGACUUGGCUCCUGCCUCAGGCUCCGGACCCAGGCAGGAACCUCCCACUGAGAACCUGCAGGCAGCAGAUUGCUGUGGCUUCCAGCUAACCAUCUAUCUCUAGCACCCAGAAUGCGGAGAAUGGUUUUUAAUAUAGUAGGUGCACAAUAAAUCGGUUUGAGUGAUCGAA